This 76-nucleotide transfer RNA is filed under the name Bacteroides uniformis. RNAcentral describes it as "tRNA-Ala". It matches the Rfam family "tRNA". Rfam says of the family: Transfer RNA (tRNA) molecules are approximately 80 nucleotides in length. Their secondary structure includes four short double-helical elements and three loops (D, anti-codon, and T loops). The record is from RNAcentral. RNAcentral also lists the same sequence under 22 other names. Lineage: Bacteria; Pseudomonadati; Bacteroidota; Bacteroidia; Bacteroidales; Bacteroidaceae.
GGGGGUGUAGCUCAGCUGGGAGAGCACCUGCUUUGCAAGCAGGGGGUCAUCGGUUCGAUCCCGUUCAUCUCCACCA